This 245-nucleotide ribosomal RNA is filed under the name uncultured bacterium. RNAcentral's name for it is "partial 16S ribosomal RNA". It matches the Rfam family "Bacterial small subunit ribosomal RNA", at positions 524 to 768 of the family's 1533-position model. The record is from RNAcentral.
UACAGAGGUCCCGAGCGUUGUUCGGAUUCAUUGGGCGUAAAGGGUGCGUAGGCGGCGGGGCAAGUCUGAUGUGAAAUCCCGGGGCUCAACCCCGGAACUGCAUUGGAUACUGCCUUGCUAGAGUACUGGAGAGGGAACUGGAAUUUACGGUGUAGCAGUGAAAUGCGUAGAGAUCGUAAGGAAGGCCAGUGGCGAAGGCGAGUUCCUGGACAGUUACUGACGCUGAGGCACGAAGGCCAGGGGAG